RNAcentral lists this ribosomal RNA (501 nucleotides) under uncultured bacterium. RNAcentral's name for it is "partial 16S ribosomal RNA". It matches the Rfam family "Bacterial small subunit ribosomal RNA", at positions 28 to 506 of the family's 1533-position model. The record is from RNAcentral.
GACGAACGCUGGCGGCGUGCUUAACACAUGCAAGUCGAACGGUGAAGGGGUCUGCUUUUGUGGGCCCUGGAUGAGUGGCGAACGGGUGAGUAACACGUGAGUAACCUGCCCCCUUCUUCUGGAUAACCGCAUGAAAGUGUGGCUAAUACGGGAUAUUCUGGGUCUGUCGCAUGAUGGGUCUGGGAAAGAUUGCGCCUUUGGGUGUUUUUGGUGGGGGAUGGGCUCGCGGCCUAUCAGCUUGUUGGUGGGGUGAUGGCCUACCAAGGCGGUGACGGGUAGCCGGCCUGAGAGGGUGGACGGUCACACUGGGACUGAGACACGGCCCAGACUCCUACGGGAGGCAGCAGUGGGGAAUAUUGCACAAUGGGCGCAAGCCUGAUGCAGCGACGCCGCGUGAGGGAUGGAGGCCUUCGGGUUGUAAACCUCUUUCGCCAGUGAAGCAGGCCUGCUCCUUGUGGGUGGGUUGACGGUAGCUGGAUAAGAAGCGCCGGCUAACUACGU